CAGAGUUGAAAAACUCCCCUAAACCAUUGUGAACCUACCACUAAACAGUUGCUUCGGCGGGUGGGCCCCUCCCCAGCGAGGGGCCCCGCUAGACCGCCCGCCGGAGGUACCCAAAAACUCUUGUUUAAUUAAAAAGGCCUCUCUGAGUACUGUACUUUAAAUAAGUCA
This 168-nucleotide unclassified non-coding RNA is filed under the name uncultured Ascomycota. Its description in RNAcentral is "sequence contains ITS1". The record is from RNAcentral. Lineage: Eukaryota; Fungi; Ascomycota.